This 1006-nucleotide long non-coding RNA is filed under the name Sarcophilus harrisii (Tasmanian devil). RNAcentral's name for it is "lncRNA (ENSSHAG00000024455.1)". Lineage: Eukaryota; Metazoa; Chordata; Mammalia; Dasyuromorphia; Dasyuridae. The record is from RNAcentral.
UUUCCUGCACUUCCUGGGAAUUUUUUAACUUUUCCAAUUCGUAUUUCAGGAAGUUGUUGCUCUCUUGUAAGGCUUCUCUUUCCUUUCCCCAUUUAUCUUCUAACUCUCUUUUGAGACUUUUAAUGGUCUCUUCUAUGAGAGCAUUAUGUAAAAGAGGACAGUCUGAUGCAUUUUUGCUGUUUGAGGUCUCUUCAGGUUUGCUGACCUGCUCUUUUCUGCAUAGAAGCUGUCGAUCGUUCUUUUCAUCUUUUUAUUCAUGUUUUAAAGCCUUUAGGGUAUGUCUCCUAGGCAAGGGGGUUACCAGCUUCCUCUGCAGAGCAGGGAGAGAUGUAAACCGAUUUCCGGCUCCAAGGUAUGGGAGUGCUCCGAGUGAGAGUUUUCCCUUCCCCCAACAGGAAGUGGAUUCAGCACUGGCUGAGCUAUCAAACUGCUUAGUAGGGCUGAGUGGAUUAUCGAUUGCCCUAGGCUAGAGACUAAGUGGUGAAAGUGUCACUGCCCCAGGCCGGAGCCUCUUGUGGGACUGUGAGUAUUAGCAGCUGAGCACAGACUGCAGACCGCCAGGAACUCUGCCCCAGUGUCUCUGCCCAAUGCAAAUCGGCCCUGGAAAAGCUCUAUGGCCCCAAGCCGAGCUCCCCACUGUGCAGAUUGGAGGCUAACCCGGGCUGCGUCCUCCUGCGGUGCAGGAUCACAACUGCCCCAAGGAAAAGCCCUUACUGCGGGUUGGGGCUGCGCGCUUGUGCUGAGAUCUGUGCUUUCUCCCUCGGUUUGAGACUCUCCUCGGAACCUAAUUUCUCUCCCUGUCUGCGCCGAUCUCCCCCCUGGCCCCGGAACCAACCUUUUUUUGGCGAGACUGCAGAUUUUCUUCGGCCGGUGAGUUGUUCUAUUUCUUAUCUUUACGAAUUGUAGCAGUCAAGACUAUUUUUGAGGCUCGAUAUAAUAUUGAUAAAGAGGGUAAGAGAAGAGCUUAGAAAGUCGCGUGUGUCUUCUCCGCCAUCUUGGCUCCGCC